UACGUAGGGUGCAAGCGUUAAUCGGAAUUACUGGGCGUAAAGCGUGCGCAGGCGGUUUUGUAAGUCUGUCGUGAAAGCCCCGGGCUCAAGCUGGGAAUUGCGAUGGAGACUGCAAGGCUUGAAUCUGGCAGAGGGGGGUAGAAUUCCACGUGUAGCAGUGAAAUGCGUAGAGAUGUGGAGGAACACCGAUGGCGAAGGCAGCCCCCUGGGUCAAGAUUGACGCUCAUGCACGAAAGCGUGGGGAGCAAACAGG
RNAcentral lists this ribosomal RNA (253 nucleotides) under uncultured bacterium. RNAcentral's name for it is "partial 16S ribosomal RNA". It matches the Rfam family "Bacterial small subunit ribosomal RNA", at positions 524 to 776 of the family's 1533-position model. The record is from RNAcentral.